GCGAGGGUAGCCAAAUUGGUAAGGCGGAAGUCUGCAAAGCUUCUAAUUGUUGGUUCGAGUCCAGCUCCUUGCUCCA
Molecule: transfer RNA, 76 nt
Filed under: Candidatus Buchananbacteria bacterium CG10_big_fil_rev_8_21_14_0_10_33_19
Lineage: Bacteria; Candidatus Buchananiibacteriota
Also listed under: 1 other name
Description: tRNA-Cys
Rfam family: tRNA
About the family: Transfer RNA (tRNA) molecules are approximately 80 nucleotides in length. Their secondary structure includes four short double-helical elements and three loops (D, anti-codon, and T loops).
Source: RNAcentral